This 489-nucleotide long non-coding RNA is filed under the name Ananas comosus (pineapple). RNAcentral describes it as "long non-coding RNA (ACOM_LNC025436)". Lineage: Eukaryota; Viridiplantae; Streptophyta; Magnoliopsida; Poales; Bromeliaceae. The record is from RNAcentral.
UACUGGCCGUUAAAAAUUAUCAAUUUUGUGAGCUUUUGAUCGUAAGGUAAAUAAUGUCAAAAAAUUAUAAAAUUUGAUUUCUAAAUGUUUCAAAUGCUCUAGAUAACGUUUAACGGUGUGGAUCGUCGAUUCGGAAGCUCUAUCAUCGAAAACAACUUAUGAGUACGAGGGCGAUCAUACUCAUAAUAGUAUAGUAGCCGGACUCUAUAUAUAUAAAUAUAUAUAUAUUAUAUUUAAUCUAUAUAUAAAAAUUAUAAUAAUAAUAUAUAUAGUAUAUUAAUUAUUAUAUAUUUAUUAUAUAGCCGAAUUUUUGAUCUCGAAUUUUUAAUUGAUGAACGUAUUAUAUCCGUAUAAAUCACGUAUCCGAAUAAUUACCGAGCCCAUUUUUUAGCCGUAUUUUUCAACGAAUUUAAAAAUUUAAAAACGAAUUUUAUCCGAAUUAUACCCGUACCGAAUUUUUGCGGAAUCCGAAUUAACUAACUAUGUUAC